Sapajus apella (tufted capuchin) is the source of this 923-nucleotide long non-coding RNA. RefSeq lists it as uncharacterized. The record is from RefSeq and is a predicted model, not a curated record. The transcript has 2 exons. Lineage: Eukaryota; Metazoa; Chordata; Mammalia; Primates; Cebidae.
UCUCCUUCCCUGGGAACUUGGAUCUGGACAGACAGAAUGAGUUGUUGACAGUGAGGUUCAUUUGAGGGGAGAGGGAAAUAUUUACUGCUGCCUAUUGAUGAUGGUCAGAUAACAAAUAGAAAGGUAUAGAAAAUAGCAAAGUAGAAACCUAGUCUCAGCUGGGGGCAGUGGCUCAUGCUUGUAGGCCCAUCACUUUGGGAGGUCAAGGCCAGUGGAUCACUUGAGACAAGGAGUUUGAGACCAGCCCAGACAACAUGGCAAAACCCUGUCUUGACAAGAUACAUAAAAGCUAGCAAGGUAUGGUCGCAUGUACCUAUAGUCCUAGCUACUUGGGAAGCUGAGGUGGGAGGAUCAAUUGAGCCUGGGAAGGGUCAAGGUUACAGUGAGCUGUGGUCACAGCACCUGCACUCCAGCCUGGCCCAACCCUGUCACACAUACACAAAAACACCCACCUUAUUAUCUAUAAUUAACAACUGCUAACAUUUGCAUCAAGUUAUUUUUCAGCAUAACAAAAAGUAUAGAUUAUUGUAUAGGUCCAUUUCUCUUUCCCAAAUCAGCUACUCUGAGGUGUUUAAAAUCUCUCAUGAGGCUGAGUGUAGUGAGCUCAUGCCUGUAAGUCCCAGCUACUUGGGAGGCCAAGGCAGGAGGAUAACUUCAGCCCAGGAGUUUCAGGCUACAGUGAGCUGAGAUUGUGCCACUGGACUCCAGUCUGAGCGACAGAGUGAGGCUGUCUCAAAAAACAAAAAAACCUCAUGAAUAGAGCUGAGCAUGGUGGUACACAACUGUAGUCCCAGAUACUCAGGAGGCUGAGGUGCACUAUGAUUGAACUUGCGAACGACCACUGUGCUUCAGCCUGGGAAUCAUAGUGAGACCAUCUAUUGAGAAACAAAUGUUUUGUGAAUAAAUACAUUAUUGUUUUGUUA